CUACUAUAGUAGUAUUAACAGUGUUGUCAAAGAGACUUGAAAUACGCGUCAUUACUGUAGCGGGUUCCCCAUAGCUACAUGUCUGGCUGAGAAUCGAACUGUUAAUUAUUGCAAGGAAUAACGAUGUCGGAAGAUCUACAGUCAGGCAACCUGGGAGGAAUGCGCCAGAAUAUGCCCCCUUUUUGACUGGUGAUGCAAAGGCAGAAAUAAUUCUUCAUACAUAUUUUUUUUCAAAAAAAGGAUUUGGAGCAUGUGAUAAAUGCAGGGUAUAUCAGG
Molecule: long non-coding RNA, 276 nt
Organism: Patella vulgata (common limpet)
Lineage: Eukaryota; Metazoa; Mollusca; Gastropoda; Patellidae
Exons: 4
Source: RefSeq, a predicted model, not a curated record